UGAUCGUUGCAAAUAUGCCGGUGACCC
RNAcentral lists this non-coding RNA (27 nucleotides) under Bombyx mori (domestic silkworm). The record is from RNAcentral. Lineage: Eukaryota; Metazoa; Arthropoda; Insecta; Lepidoptera; Bombycidae.